GUGCUAACUCUAACAGCACAUAUACUAAAAUUGGGACAAUACAAAGAUUAACAUGGCCCCUGGGCAAAGAGCACAUAUAAAUUUGUGAAGUGCUCCAUGUUUUA
This 104-nucleotide small nuclear RNA is filed under the name Nannospalax galili (Upper Galilee mountains blind mole rat). Lineage: Eukaryota; Metazoa; Chordata; Mammalia; Rodentia; Spalacidae. The record is from RNAcentral.